RNAcentral lists this ribosomal RNA (775 nucleotides) under uncultured Neocallimastigales. Its description in RNAcentral is "partial large subunit ribosomal RNA". It matches the Rfam family "Eukaryotic large subunit ribosomal RNA", at positions 23 to 647 of the family's 3401-position model. Lineage: Eukaryota; Fungi; Neocallimastigomycota; Neocallimastigomycetes; Neocallimastigales. The record is from RNAcentral.
GAGAGAGACAUGCGCGCAUAUCAAUAACGGAGGAAAAGAAACUAACAAGGAUUCCCUUAGUAACGGCGAGUGAAGCGGGAAGAGCUCAAAUCUGAAAUCUUCAAGGUUCUACCUUGACGAAUUGUAGUUUAAAGAAGUGUUUUCUGUCAGUGGAGUGGCAAAAGUUCUUUGGAAUAGGACAUCAUAGAGGGUGAGAAUCCCGUAUUUGGUCAUUCCUCCUAGCGUUGUGAUACACUUUCAACGAGUCGGAUUGUUUGGGAAUGCAGUCCAAAAUGGGUGGUAAAUUUCAUCUAAAGCUAAAUAUUGGCGAGAGACCGAUAGCGAACAAGUACCGUGAGGGAAAGAUGAAAAGAACUUUGAAAAGAGAGUUAAACAGUACGUGAAAUUGUCAAAAGGGAAGCGUUUGACACCAGUGUUGUUUUUCCGAAAAUCAAUUACGAAUGUUUUGUUUUUGAGGAGUUAUGACUUCAUCGGCUUGCUUCCUUUCUUUACGAAACUUUCUUAAUGCACUUUUCGGUUAACAAGUCAACAUCAAUUUCUUUUGUUGUAAAAGGGUAUGAGGAAGGUGGCUUUCUUUUCGGAGAAAGUGUUUAUAGCCUUGUAGCCUCUGCAAUCGGAGAGAUUGAGGUCUGCAGCGUAGAUCCUUCGGGGUUAGAUACAUUUGUGCUAAGUUAUAGCCUUUUCAUAGACAACUUGUUGACUAUGUUUAGUCUUGUAGCUUACUCGCUUAUGCUAUUUUACCUACGCUUAGGAUGUUGAUCUGUAGUGCGUGCGC